CUGCGAGACUUUCUAGCAGCUCAGCGGAAAGGCAGCUACCAGCCAAGCUCGGAGAGAUUUGAUGCUUGACGCCGAGAGUCACAAUUUAAUUCGGAGCGGAAGCCGCGUUCCCGGAUUCCUUCAGCCCUCAGAAGACAGAGGUCGGCUUCCCUCUGCGAGGAAAGGGCCUAAUUCGUUUUUUCUGACAUUGCUGGGGGGCGGGGGGUGCCCGAGUGGAGAGAAAACGGACCCGGUCCGUGCAGAAGCGCAGAGACACCGAAUCUUCAUUGAGAGGAUGCUUAAAACCCUGGUCUCCACGCUCGUGCUGCUCCUUGUUUCGAGCGGAGCGGUGGACGGGAAGGUUUCUCAGCCGGCUGCGCUGUCUUUCCUGGCGGGGGGCAGGGCUGACCUCCCCUGUAACCACAGUGUCGCUGGCUACGAGAGAAUUUUUUGGUACUAUCAGCGCCCCGGAGCUGCCCCUCGAGCUGUGAUCUCUGGCUACAACUCCGCGGAGACGUCGGAGCGGCUUGAACUGUCCAUUGACCCCUCCAGCCGGUCCGCCCCGCUGCGCAUCACCAAGGUGGCGGUGGAGGACUCGGGGGUGUAUUACUGCGCCGUGAGAGGCACAGCGAGAGGAAAUGCAGGGAGAGCUGAACAAAAACCUCCCCGAGGACUCCUCUGAGAGUCCUGGGCAGGAAGAGAAGGAAGCUCACACAGAUAAUCAAAUUGCGGGCUGGGAUCUUCAAAGGGGCCAGGAGAAUGGACGCAUGGAACUCCAGUGAGCAAUAAGCGCCCAACUCCCUUAGGCUCCUUUUGAAAUCUCAGCUUUGAACAGUAGCAUGUAGAAAUUCGUGACUGUAUCCAAAGCGACCGAGAUAAUUACAAGCCUAAUUUCUAUGGUCUUCCAAUAAAAAGAGUCUCCAAAGGGUCAAAUUUACAAAGGUAUUUAGGGACCUAAAGAUCUAGAGAGGCACCUGGAGAGGCUUUAGGCUCCCAAAUGCUGUUUUGACCAGAGCAUCUAGUCAAAGUCUGUGGCCCUGUGGGCCCACCUG
This is a non-coding RNA of Dermochelys coriacea (leatherback sea turtle), 1031 nucleotides long. Lineage: Eukaryota; Metazoa; Chordata; Testudines; Dermochelyidae. The record is from the annotation of a RefSeq genome assembly.